RNAcentral lists this ribosomal RNA (626 nucleotides) under uncultured bacterium. RNAcentral's name for it is "bacterial SSU rRNA". It matches the Rfam family "Bacterial small subunit ribosomal RNA", at positions 70 to 719 of the family's 1533-position model. The record is from RNAcentral.
GAAACAUUUGAAGUGACUUAGUGGCGGACGGGUGAGUAACGCGUGGGUAACCUGCCCUGUACUGGGGGACAACAGUUGGAAACGGCUGCUAAUACCGCAUAAGCGCACAGCAUCGCAUGGUGCAGUGUGAAAAACUCCGGUGGUACAGGAUGGACCCGCGUCUGAUUAGCUAGUUGGUGGGGUAACGGCCUACCAAGGCGACGAUCAGUAGCCGGCCUGAGAGGGUGAACGGCCACAUUGGGACUGAGACACGGCCCAGACUCCUACGGGAGGCAGCAGUGGGGAAUAUUGCACAAUGGGCGCAAGCCUGAUGCAGCGACGCCGCGUGAGUGAUGAAGUAUUUCGGUAUGUAAAGCUCUAUCAGCAGGGAAGAAAAUGACGGUACCUGACUAAGAAGCACCGGCUAAAUACGUGCCAGCAGCCGCGGUAAUACGUAUGGUGCAAGCGUUAUCCGGAUUUACUGGGUGUAAAGGGAGCGUAGGCGGCAUGGCAAGUCAGAUGUGAAAGCCCGGGGCCCAACCCCGGAACUGCAUUUGAAACUGUCAGGCUAGAGUACCGGAGAGGUAAGCGGAAUUCCUAGUGUAGCGGUGGAAUGCGUAGAUAUUAGGAGGAACACCAGUGGCGAA